RNAcentral lists this long non-coding RNA (279 nucleotides) under Chrysolophus pictus (golden pheasant). RNAcentral's name for it is "lncRNA (ENSCPIG00010012434.1)". Lineage: Eukaryota; Metazoa; Chordata; Aves; Galliformes; Phasianidae. The record is from RNAcentral.
GCCCGCACCGCCACCAGCCGUCAUUCCCCGCCCCGCCGGACCGGGGCCGCCUCCGUCUAUGGGUCGUCGCCGGGGCGAGGCCUGAACGGGCCCCGAACGCCCGGAGCCGCGAUGGGAGUGGCCGUGGGCUGAGCCCUCACCCAGGCCCUGUGGCAGCACCCGGUGGGGAUCAAGAUGGAGCUGUGAGAGGAGGCCGGCGCAGGAUGGCGAAGCUGCUGGUGCCGCUGGUGGUGCUGGGGGCGGUGGCUCAGCGUUGCCCCCCGCGCUGCCUCUGCCCCG